UCGACCUGAGGUCAGGCAAGAACACCCGCUGAACUUA
RNAcentral lists this ribosomal RNA (37 nucleotides) under Trebouxia decolorans. Its description in RNAcentral is "partial 26S ribosomal RNA". Lineage: Eukaryota; Viridiplantae; Chlorophyta; Trebouxiophyceae; Trebouxiales; Trebouxiaceae. The record is from RNAcentral. RNAcentral also lists the same sequence under 1 other name.